GUGCUCGCUUUGGCAGCACACACACUAAAACUGGAGCGAUACAGAGAAGAUUAGCAUGGCCCCUGCGCAAGGAUGACAGGAAAAUUCGUGAAGCGUUCCACAUUUUA
Small nuclear RNA from Peromyscus leucopus (white-footed mouse), 107 nucleotides. Lineage: Eukaryota; Metazoa; Chordata; Mammalia; Rodentia; Cricetidae. The record is from RefSeq and is a predicted model, not a curated record.